ACGCUUUGUGGUUCAACUGAUUUGAAGAGCUUGCUCAGAUAUGACGAUGGACAUUGCAAAGAGUGGCGAACGGGUGAGUAACACGUGGGAAACCUACCUCUUAGCAGGGGAUAACAUUUGGAAACAGAUGCUAAUACCGUAUAACAAUGACAACCGCAUGGUUGUUAUUUAAAAGAUGGUUCUGCUAUCACUAAGAGAUGGUCCCGCGGUGCAUUAGCUAGUUGGUAAGGUAAUGGCUUACCAAGGCGAUGAUGCAUAGCCGAGUUGAGAGACUGAUCGGCCACAAUGGGACUGAGACACGGCCCAUACUCCUACGGGAGGCAGCAGUAGGGAAUCUUCCACAAUGGGCGAAAGCCUGAUGGAGCAACGCCGCGUGUGUGAUGAAGGGUUUCGGCUCGUAAAACACUGUUGUAAGAGAAGAAUGACAUUGAGAGUAACUGUUCAAUGUGUGACGGUAUCUUACCAGAAAGGAACGGCUAAAUACGUGCCAGCAGCCGCGGUAAUACGUAUGUUCCAAGCGUUAUCCGGAUUUAUUGGGCGUAAAGCGAGCGCAGACGGUUAUUUAAGUCUGAAGUGAAAGCCCUCAGCUCAACUGAGGAAUUGCUUUGGAAACUGGAUGACUUGAGUGCAGUAGAGGAAAGUGGAACUCCAUGUGUAGCGGUGAAAUGCGUAGAUAUAUGGAAGAACACCAGUGGCGAAGGCGGCUUUCUGGACUGUAACUGACGUUGAGGCUCGAAAGUGUGGGUAGCAAACAGGAUUAGAUACCCUGGUAGUCCACACCGUAAACGAUGAGUGCUAGGUGUUUGAGGGUUUCCGCCCUUAAGUGCCGCAGCUAACGCAUUAAGCACUCCGCCUGGGGAGUACGACCGCAAGGUUGAAACUCAAAGGAAUUGACGGGGACCCGCACAAGCGGUGGAGCAUGUGGUUUAAUUCGAAGCAACGCGAAGAACCUUACCAGGUCUUGACAUCCCUUGACAACUCCAGAGAUGGAGCGUUCCCUUCGGGGACAAGGUGACAGGUGGUGCAUGGUUGUCGUCAGCUCGUGUCGUGAGAUGUUGGGUUAAGUCCCGCAACGAGCGCAACCCUUAUUACUAGUUGCCAGCAUUCAGUUGGGCACUCUAGUGAGACUGCCGGUGACAAACCGGAGGAAGGUGGGGAUGACGUCAAAUCAUCAUGCCCCUUAUGACCUGGGCUACACACGUGCUACAAUGGCGUAUACAACGAGUUGCCAACCCGCGAGGGUGAGCUAAUCUCUUAAAGUACGUCUCAGUUCGGAUUGUAGGCUGCAACUCGCCUACAUGAAGUCGGAAUCGCUAGUAAUCGCGGAUCAGCACGCCGCGGUGAAUACGUUCCCGGGUCUUGUACACACCGCCCGUCACACCAUGAGAGUUUGUAACACCCAAAGCCGGUGGG
RNAcentral lists this ribosomal RNA (1413 nucleotides) under Weissella confusa. Its description in RNAcentral is "bacterial SSU rRNA". It matches the Rfam family "Bacterial small subunit ribosomal RNA", at positions 66 to 1434 of the family's 1533-position model. The record is from RNAcentral. Lineage: Bacteria; Bacillati; Bacillota; Bacilli; Lactobacillales; Lactobacillaceae.